This 250-nucleotide ribosomal RNA is filed under the name uncultured bacterium. Its description in RNAcentral is "partial 16S ribosomal RNA". It matches the Rfam family "Bacterial small subunit ribosomal RNA", at positions 524 to 773 of the family's 1533-position model. The record is from RNAcentral.
UACAGAGGUCCCAAGCGUUGUUCGGAUUCACUGGGCGUAAAGGGUGCGUAGGUGGUGAGGUAAGUCCGAUGUGAAAGCUCCGAGCUCAACUCGGAAAUUGCAUUAGAAACUACCUUGCUCGAGGGUUGGAGGGGGGACUGGAAUUCUCGGUGUAGCAGUGAAAUGCGUAGAUAUCGAGAGGAACACCAGUGGCGAAGGCGAGUCCCUGGACAACUCCUGACACUGAGGCACGAAAGCUAGGGGAGCAAAC